UCAGCAGGCCGCCUUAUCGCUGCCAAGUAAUUGGGAGAGGAAAGUCCGGACACCAUAGUGCAGUAUAGCGGGUAACGCCCGUCCGCAGAGAUGUGAGGACAAGUGCAACAGAAAGCAAGUACAGUUCGGCUGUAGUGAAACCAGGUAAACUCUAUACGGUGAAACGUCAUGUAAAUCGGUGCUUGAGGGCUGCACGCCCAAGCCGAAGGGUAGGCGGUUAGAGCUUUGGGGUAACCCUUUGCCUAGAUAAAUGAUAAGGAAUUCUGAUUUUUUGGAAUACAGAAUCCGGCUUAUGGCCUGCUUUUUUU
Maribacter sp. is the source of this 308-nucleotide non-coding RNA. It matches the Rfam family "Bacterial RNase P class A". Rfam says of the family: Ribonuclease P (RNase P) is a ubiquitous endoribonuclease, found in archaea, bacteria and eukarya as well as chloroplasts and mitochondria. Its best characterised activity is the generation of mature 5'-ends of tRNAs by cleaving the 5'-leader elements of precursor-tRNAs. Lineage: Bacteria; Pseudomonadati; Bacteroidota; Flavobacteriia; Flavobacteriales; Flavobacteriaceae. The record is from Rfam.